GGAGACCAAGAAUCACAUUGUAGUAAUCAGACAAGUACCCAAAGAUAUAAUCUCCACACCCUUAAAUAUGUAGAAGUAGACUACUUCAUGACUCUUUAGCAAUGAACAUUUAUGUCCGUAUGGUUGAACGAAAUGUCGUGUACAAAUAAUUGCUAAAUCGUAAAUAAACUGUUGCACGCGUACGCGUACAUGUUUAGCGAUUUUUAUUCUGUAGAUAAGUUGAUUCAUCUUAAAUUAUCCCCACGAAGAAUAUUUGUAGUCAUAUGUUUAUCAGCGAUGUUGCAGGUCCUAAAGUGUUCUUGCAAGUUGGCAGCAUGAUAAUUGUAGUUAUUUUGUUAGAAUCCGAUAAAAUUGUAAUGUGAAUGAUGGUAUUAGGUCCAUUCGUAUGACCCAAUAGCUUGACACCUUGGCUGCGGUGCUGGCCAGUCUUGGAUGCAACAUUGCUUGUCUGACACCACUUCGCAACCGCCCGACUGGUGCUGCCGCUAGCUAGCUGGGCUUGAAUUAGGCUGACCCAAGGCCUGACCUAAGUCUAUUUAACCUAUUUGUCCCUUAUAAAUAGAAGGCUUCCUCCCCCAUGAGGAGGAUCCCUUCCGAAAUCUCUCUCACUUUAAGGAUCAACCUCCAUUAUGCUCAUACUCACACCCACCACACCUAGAUGGUCCCCUCCGGCCAGGAGGAACCAUCUUCUUUCACACACCGAUUCGACUUGAUCUUCGGAGCCUGCUCCCAGGGCACUAUCCAUAGGGUGGUUUUAACGGUCUUGUUGUAUGUUGCAGCUAGGAAUCCCGUCGGGAACAUGCCAACGACGCAUAUCUCCGAUCCACAAUCCAGAUCCAACACUCAAGACCCGAUGACCCGGAUUCCGAUGUCACAUCAUUGGCGCCAUGCGUGGGACUCAAACCCACGAUCACGUAUGGUUAUUUUAAUGAAUAAUUCUAAAACAAAUGGUAAUAUUAGGACAUAGUACAAUUUGGAAUUGUUGCCCUUUCCGUUCAAUUGCAACUUCCUUGAAAUUUCGUGAGAGGUUCAUCCAAAUUUCUUGCAGCAUCUGCAAAGGUUCGGCUAAAUUUCCUGCAACAUUGUUAUAAAAGGGAUGUUGGUUUUGUAAACAAUUAGCAUCAAGUUACAUUUUACUUGUGUAAAGAUUUCAAACAUGAGCGAAUACAAUAAAUCAUUGGAUUCCUUGUUUU
Molecule: long non-coding RNA, 1193 nt
Organism: Lactuca sativa (garden lettuce)
Lineage: Eukaryota; Viridiplantae; Streptophyta; Magnoliopsida; Asterales; Asteraceae
Source: RefSeq, a predicted model, not a curated record